Molecule: ribosomal RNA, 328 nt
Filed under: uncultured fungus
Lineage: Eukaryota; Fungi
Description: bacterial SSU rRNA
Rfam family: Eukaryotic small subunit ribosomal RNA
Source: RNAcentral
UUAUCUCGAUCACGAACGAGACCUCGCCUUGCCUAAAUAGUAGACUAAACUCUUCGGGGUUGGGAUCGAGUUUUUAGAGGGAAUUUUGGUGUGUAGCCAAAGGAAGUUUGAGGCAAUAACAGGUCUGUGAUGCCCUUAGAUGUUCUGGGCCGCACGCGCGCUACACUGAUCGGUUCAUCGAGCAUAUAACCUUGACUGAUAGGUCUGGGUAAUCUUGUGAAAACCGGUCGUGCUGGGGAUAGAUCAUUGCAAAAGGGAUCUUCAACGAGGAAUGCCUAGUAAGCGCGAGUCAUCAACUCGCAUGAUUACGUCCCUGUCCCUAAAACCC